RNAcentral lists this ribosomal RNA (564 nucleotides) under uncultured Sedimentibacter sp. Its description in RNAcentral is "bacterial SSU rRNA". It matches the Rfam family "Bacterial small subunit ribosomal RNA", at positions 334 to 916 of the family's 1533-position model. The record is from RNAcentral. Lineage: Bacteria; Bacillati; Bacillota; Tissierellia.
GAUUCCUACGGGAGGCAGCAGGAGGGAAUAUUGCACAAUGGAGGAAACUCUGAUGCAGCGACGCCGCGUGAGUGAAGAAGGUCUUUGGAUCGUAAAACUCUGUCCUUGGUGACGAAAAAAAUGACGGUAGCCAAGGAGGAAGCCCCGGCUAACUACGUGCCAGCAGCCGCGGUAAUACGUAGGGGGCGAGCGUUGUCCGGAUUUACUGGGCGUAAAGGGUGAGUAGGCGGUAAUAUGUGUCAGAUGUAAAAGGCUAUGGCUUAACCAUAGUUGGCAUUUGAAACUGUAUUACUUGAGUGCAGGAGAGGUAAGUGGAAUUCCUAGUGUAGCGGUGAAAUGCGUAGAUAUUAGGAGGAACACCAGUGGCGAAGGCGACUUACUGGACUGUAACUGACGCUGAGUCACGAAAGCGUGGGUAGCAAACAGGAUUAGAUACCCUGGUGGUCCACGCUGUAAACGAUGAGUGCUAGGUGUUGGGUAGCGAUAUUCAGUGCCGAAGUAAACACAAUAAGCACUCCGCCUGGGGAGUACGGUCGCAAGACUGAAACUCAAAGGAAUUGACGG